This is a non-coding RNA of Castor canadensis (American beaver), 1423 nucleotides long. The record is from RefSeq and is a predicted model, not a curated record. NCBI's taxonomy places the organism in Eukaryota, Metazoa, Chordata, Mammalia, Rodentia, Castoridae.
CGAGGAGCGCCGCCAUCUUGGGGCGGCAGGGAGCGCUGGGGUAACUGGGCGGAUCGCCGGCUGGGGUCGGCGGCCUUGCCUCCUACUUCCCUCCGCGCUUGGCACGAUGCCGCAGUACCAGACCUGGGAGGAGUUCAGCCGCGCGGCCGAGAAGCUCUACCUCGCCGACCCGAUGAAGGUACGUGUGGUUCUCAAAUAUAGGCAUGCUGAUGGGAAUUUAUGCAUUAAAGUAACAGAUGACUCAGUUUGUUUGCUGUACAGAACAGAACAAGCUCAAGAUGUGAAGAAGAUCGAGAAAUUCCACAGUCAGCUAAUGCGCCUGAUGGUGGCCAAGGAGUCCCGGGCCGUCACCUCGGCGGAAACGGACUGAACGGUGGACGUGAAGACUGUCGUGUUUAGAGAGUAAAUGUCUUGAAUUUGAGGUGUGAAGAAGACAAGAGUUUAAUAACAACAUGCACAAAACCCAUGAGUUGAUUUAGAACCAGCCACUGUGUCCAGAAAUUGGAAGACAACAGAUCGCAGCACCGAGAUGUCACAGAUGUUGAAAUUACCUGAAAAAGACAUUAAAGUAACUAUUUAAAAAGUGCUUCAACAGCCUGCACAACGCGAUGGCAGCGAACUGCCCGGAGGACAUCUAACAGAGGCCUCGGGUGGGGAUGCCUGCGGAGGCGGAGCCUUGGGAAGGCGCAGGGCAGAACUGCUCAAUCGGAGGUCGGGGCGGGGCAGAACUGCGGCCGGAGACGCGGAGGAGCGGGAGCCCAAGGACCGUAAGAUACAGAAUCAUGUUUCUGGAAAUUCUCCUCGCCUCAGUGCUGGGCUUUCUCAUCUACCGGUAUAUCUCCUGGAACAAGGAGGAAACUUUGGCACUUGAAGAUGGGUGGUGGGGGCCCGGGGCAAAGCCCACAGCCAGGGAGGACGAGAGCAUCCGCCCCUUCAAGGUGGAAACGUCAGAUGAGGAGAUCAAGGACCUACACCAGAGGAUCGAUAACUUCCGCUGGACCGCACCUCUGGAGGACAGUCGCUUCCAUUACGGGUUCAACUCCAACUACCUGAAGAAAGUCCUGUCCUACUGGCGGAAUGAGUUUGACUGGAGGAAGCAGGUGGAGAUUCUCAACAAGUACCCUCACUUCAAGACAAAGAUCGAAGGUAAGCUUCCAGAACACCUGGGGCUGUGAGUCCCAGGAGCAGACACCUCUGUGGGAACCUUGACCCAAUGGCAGGUCACCUGAUGUAAUCAGCUUUCAUCUUGCCAGAAUGCAAAAAUAAUGCCACAUGUCAACAACCAUGGGUGUAUAGAACUAGACAGGAAGUACAUUAAUAAUUUUAAGGCCUGAGAAAUGCAGAAUCCAGUCCAAUGAGGAAGCUGCCGUGGGGGAGGCUAAGGAGGAAGACGAGGGCAUGGAUGCCUGGUCACCUCUGCCCC